Molecule: ribosomal RNA, 180 nt
Filed under: uncultured bacterium
Lineage: Bacteria
Description: partial 16S ribosomal RNA
Rfam family: Bacterial small subunit ribosomal RNA
Source: RNAcentral
AUGAAGCCGGAAUUGCUAGUAAUGGCAGGUCAGCAUACUGCCGUGAAUACGUUCCCGGGCCUUGUACACACCGCCCGUCACACCAUGAGAGUUGGGAAUACCCGAAGCCUGUGAGCUAACUUUACGAGGCAGCAGUCGAAGGUAGAAUCAAUGAUUGGGGUGAAGUCGUAACAAGGUAUC